This 540-nucleotide ribosomal RNA is filed under the name fungal sp. AX122. RNAcentral describes it as "eukaryotic LSU rRNA". The stretch from base 210 to 363 matches the Rfam family "5.8S ribosomal RNA". Lineage: Eukaryota; Fungi. The record is from RNAcentral.
UGGAAGUAAAAAGUCGUAACAAGGUCUCCGUUGGUGAACCAGCGGAGGGAUCAUUAAAAAGCGAGUCUCGCGACUCUCAAACCCUAUGUGAACUUAUUCAUGUCUGAGCUGCUUCGGCAGGGCGUUUCGAAAGAAGCACCUGCCGGCCGGCUCGCCAACCAAACCCUUUGUUAUCUAUGGACCUCUGAGUUAAAAACAAAAUCUAUUAAAACUUUCAACAACGGAUCUCUUGGUUCUGGCAUCGAUGAAGAACGCAGCGAAAUGCGAUAAGUAAUGUGAAUUGCAGAAUUCAGUGAAUCAUCGAAUCUUUGAACGCACAUUGCGCCCUCUAGUAUUCUGGAGGGCAUGCCUGUUCGAGCGUCAUUUCAACCCCUCUGUACCCUUGGGUAUAGGUGUUGGGGACCCGCGGAAACGCGGCCCCCUAAAGACAUUGGCGGACCUCCUAAGGUAUCCGAGCGCAGUAGUAACAUUCUCGCUCUGGGAACCCGGGAUGGCUUCCUGCCGUUAAACCCCCAAACUUUUAAGGUGACCUCGGAUCAG